RNAcentral lists this ribosomal RNA (591 nucleotides) under Biscogniauxia mediterranea. RNAcentral describes it as "eukaryotic LSU rRNA". It matches the Rfam family "Eukaryotic large subunit ribosomal RNA", at positions 34 to 649 of the family's 3401-position model. Lineage: Eukaryota; Fungi; Ascomycota; Sordariomycetes; Xylariales; Xylariaceae. The record is from RNAcentral.
UUAAGCAUAUCAAUAAGCGGAGGAAAAGAAACCAACAGGGAUUGCCCUAGUAACGGCGAGUGAAGCGGCAACAGCUCAAAUUUGAAAUCUGGCCUUCGGGUCCGAGUUGUAAUUUGUAGAGGAUGCUUUUGGCGCGGUGCCUUCCGAGUUCCCUGGAACGGGACGCCUUAGAGGGUGAGAGCCCCGUACGGUUGGACACCAAGCCUCUGUAAAGCUCCUUCGACGAGUCGAGUAGUUUGGGAAUGCUGCUCUAAAUGGGAGGUAAAUUUCUUCUAAAGCUAAAUACCGGCCAGAGACCGAUAGCGCACAAGUAGAGUGAUCGAAAGAUGAAAAGCACUUUGAAAAGAGGGUUAAAUAGCACGUGAAAUUGUUGAAAGGGAAGCGUUUACGGCCAGACCUUUUCCUGGCGGAUCAUCUGGUGUUCUCACCAGUGCACUCCGCCAGGUUUAGGCCAGCAUCGGCUCCCGUAGGGGGAUAAAAGCAGUGGGAAAGUAGCUCCCUCGGGAGUGUUAUAGCCCGCUGCACAAUACCCUUACAGGGGCCGAGGACCGCGCUCUUGCAAGGAUGCUGGCGUAAUGGUCGUCAACGACC